CCUCGAGCAGUCGUUUUCUCCUGCAUUAGUCGACAUUUGCUGGUUUUUAUUGCGCUAUCCUGUGUGCUUCAGUUGCAGGUCAACCGGCAGACGAUCGAUCACUUAGGCGCCUAGAUCCGCGUGAUUGGCUUGGCGCCAUUGCUGAUUGUGGGCUCUCAUCUUCCACCAUAUCGGUUGAAAAUGGCGAAAAGGAUUUGAGAAAAAAGAACUUCUCGAGCAGAAUUUCUGUAAUUAACAGUACAAGGCAGAAUUUAAUACAUCAAGCAUCGAUUGAGAAAUUUGGCGCAGCUGGGCAAGUAACUGGGGCGGGAUUUCUGAACGUUUCUUUGGAGGAAAAGCGACCUGCCCGGCUUAAUGUAAAGGCGGUCAACCGUGGUGGGAUAGUCUG
Molecule: long non-coding RNA, 388 nt
Organism: Lingula anatina
Lineage: Eukaryota; Metazoa; Brachiopoda; Lingulata; Lingulida; Lingulidae
Source: RefSeq, a predicted model, not a curated record